Lates calcarifer (barramundi perch) is the source of this 1439-nucleotide long non-coding RNA. RefSeq lists it as uncharacterized. The transcript is spliced from 4 exons. The record is from RefSeq and is a predicted model, not a curated record. NCBI's taxonomy places the organism in Eukaryota, Metazoa, Chordata, Actinopteri, Centropomidae.
GGUGAGUAGUUCUUGUGCUAUCCUAUGUAUACAGAUAGAAUUAAAGUAGCUACUAACUAAAUUCAGGAAGAGAAAAAUGUCUAUUACACAUUUUCUUUUUGUUCUUUUUGAUCGAUGGGAGAGCACUGUGUAAAUCCAAGAGAAGAGAGAAAUGACAGUUAUUUGUUUAAAAAACUUAAGUUGAAAGGAGAUGAGUUAAACAGCUCUUGUCACAUGUAUGUGUAGUUUAGCUCUUUGACCGAUUAUACAGAAAGUAGUGGUAGUUCAUAACUUUUGUGGUUUUUCUGUUUCGGGUAAUUAAAAAUUGCACGUCAGCACUGAUAAAGGUCCACAGCAGCAAAAUCAUUUCCAUUGUGUGUCAGUAACAAAUAUGAUAACAAUGUGUUUGAUGGCAAAAUUCUAGGCUCUGUAGAAGUUUAAGUUCAAUCUAGAAAGUAGGGUGACAUUUUCCCAAAUUGCUAGUCACUCGCUAACAUGACUAGCCACAGCACUUGUAUUUUCCUCAAGAGAAAGAACUCAAACUUCCUUGUAUAAUCACUCAGAUGUGAACCACAAUGCUGGAGAGGCUCCAGCCGGAAACACCGCCCCGGCUGGAAGCACCGCCCCGGCUGGAAGCACCGCCCCUAAUGCUGGAGACGCUCCAGCCGGAACACCGCCCUGGCUGGAAGCACCGCCCCGGCUGGAAGCACCGCCCCUAAUGCUGGAGAGGCUUCGGCUGGAAGCACCGCUCCUAGAGAUGGAUCAAUAAAGGUACAUCUUAUGUUAACCUAGGUACCACUGGCUGAAGGUGCCCAGAUUCGAAACACCACCCCUAAUGCUCCAGAGGCUCCGGCUGGAAACACCAUCACUAGAGAUAUAGGAGGUACCACCACUGAAGACACUCAGUGUGGAAACACCACCCCUGUUGAAGGUACCACUGCUGAAGACACCUUGGUUGGAAACACCAACCUUGGAGCUACCACUGCUGAGGACGCCCAGAAUGAAAACUUUUUAACUGAAUACACUCUUCUUCAAAUCUUCUUAUCUGAGCUCCAUGCCAGGCUUACUGGAUGCCGUAUCAGUUACCAAAACCUAUGUAUUGUUCUCAAUAUUGGGCCUAUAGGGUGUGGUAUCUGUUACCAAAACCUAUGUGUUGUACUCGAUGUCAGGCCUACUGGAUGUUUAAUCUAUUACCAAUACAUAUGUGUUGCUCUUGAUGUUGGGCCUACUGGAUGCGGUAUCUGUUACCAAAAUCUAUGUAUUGUUCUUGAUAUUGGGCCUACUGGAUGUUUUAUCUAUUACCAAUACAUAUGUGUUGCUCUCGAUGUCGGGCCUACUGGAUGUGGUAUCUGUUACCAAAACUGUGUCCAGUUUAUUGAAUGUAGAAGCAGUUACUAAAAGCAGCUACUGUUUUGCUGUUUUUAUUGAGAAACGACUGUGAGGUAAUAAAAUUUUUACCU